GCAUAUCCAUAAGCGGAGGAAAAAGAAACCAACAGGGAUUGCCCCAGUAACGGCGAGUGAAGCGGCAACAGCUCAAAUUUGAAAUCUGGCCCCUCGGGCCCGAGUUGUAAUUUGUAGAGGAUGCUUUUGGCAAGGUGCCGCCCGAGUUCCCUGGAACGGGACGCCACAGAGGGUGAGAGCCCCGUCUGGCUGGCCGCCGAGCCUCUGUAAAGCUCCUUCGACGAGUCGAGUAGUUUGGGAAUGCUGCUCAAAAUGGGAGGUAUAUGUCUUCUAAAGCUAAAUAUUGGCCAGAGACCGAUAGCGCACAAGUAGAGUGAUCGAAAGAUGAAAAGCACUUUGAAAAGAGGGUUAAACAGUACGUGAAAUUGUUGAAAGGGAAGCGCUCAUGACCAGACUUGGGCUUGGCGGAUCAUCCGGCGUUCUCGCCGGUGCACUUCGCCUCGCCCAGGCCAGCAUCAGUUCGCGCCGGGGGACAAAAGCUUCGGGAAUGUGGCUCCUCCGGGAGUGUUAUAGCCCGUUGCAUAAUACCCUGGUGCGGACUGAGGUCCGCGCAUCUGCAAGGAUGCUGGCGUAAUGGUCAUCAGCGACCCGUCUUGAAACACGGACCAAGGAGUCGUCUUCGUAUGCGAGUGUUCGGGUGUCAAACCCCUACGCGUAAUGAAAGUGAACGCAGGUGAGAGCUUCGGCGCAUCAUCGACCGAUCCUGAUGUUCUCGGAUGGAUUUGAGUAAGAGCAUACGGGGCCGGACCCGAAAGAAGGUGAACUAUGCCUGUAUAGGGUGAAGCCAGAGGAAACUCUGGUGGAGGCUCGCAGCGGUUCUGACGUGCAAAUCGAUCGUCAAAUAUGGCAUGGGGCGAAAGACUAAU
Molecule: ribosomal RNA, 866 nt
Filed under: Cladobotryum apiculatum
Lineage: Eukaryota; Fungi; Ascomycota; Sordariomycetes; Hypocreales; Hypocreaceae
Description: LSU rRNA
Rfam family: Eukaryotic large subunit ribosomal RNA
Source: RNAcentral